Fukomys damarensis (Damara mole-rat) is the source of this 363-nucleotide long non-coding RNA. RefSeq lists it as uncharacterized. The transcript is spliced from 3 exons. Lineage: Eukaryota; Metazoa; Chordata; Mammalia; Rodentia; Bathyergidae. The record is from RefSeq and is a predicted model, not a curated record.
UCCAGGCCUGCCUGAACUACAUAGGAGAGCCUGUCUCCAGACAACAGAAUGUUCACACCUCCUUCCCACCGAGCCGGGCAUUUUGUUGGAGUCUUUUUCUCCAUAGAUCCCUGGCAGUCGUACAAGCCUCCCCAGUGCUGGGAUCACAAGUGUGCGCCACCACACCCAGCUCAGCCCUCGAUUUUCAAGGAGUGCUCUCUCCUCAUCCAGAGUAACUUCGUUUCUGCCCGCUUCGUGUCUGGGGGGCCCUGGCUGGGCAGCUCCCCACGUCACUCCCGCCCUGAAACACGGCUCUAGCCAACCUGCUUCGCUGCUUCACCUGCGACCGGCUCUGCGGGGGCUGCACGGCGCCAGCCCCGCCCG